UCUCGCCCUCCCUCCAUCCUGGCUCGCGCCACAGGCACACGCCGGCCGCCCGCACCUAGGGGCCCAGGAGGCAUCUAGGGAGAUUGCCCCCCAUGCAGCCCUGAAAAAUUCCCCCAAGGACCAGAAGUCCUGCUGACAUGUCCCCUGAGAGUACCUGUAGUGUGGAGUGGUCCCCCAAAGACCAGGGCUCAGCCAGAGGUCCCCCAAAGACCAGGGCUCAGCCAGAGGUCCCCCAAAGACCAGGGCUCAGCCAGCGGUUCCCCAAAGACCAGGGCUGCAGCCAAAGUUUCCCCAAAGACCUGGGCUCAGCCAGAGGUCCCCCAAAACCAGGGCUCAGCCAGAGGUCCCCCAAAGACCAGGGCUCAGCCAGAGGUCCCCCAAAGACCAGGGCUCAGCCAGAGGUCCCCCAAAGACCAGGGCUCAGCCAGAGGUCCCC
This is a non-coding RNA of Microcebus murinus (gray mouse lemur), 436 nucleotides long. NCBI's taxonomy places the organism in Eukaryota, Metazoa, Chordata, Mammalia, Primates, Cheirogaleidae. The record is from RefSeq and is a predicted model, not a curated record.